This 65-nucleotide transfer RNA is filed under the name Amusiotheres obtusidentatus. Its description in RNAcentral is "tRNA-Ser". It matches the Rfam family "tRNA". From Rfam's summary of the family: Transfer RNA (tRNA) molecules are approximately 80 nucleotides in length. Lineage: Eukaryota; Metazoa; Arthropoda; Malacostraca; Decapoda; Pinnotheridae. The record is from RNAcentral.
GGUUAUUUAGUUUAAAAUAAAACAAAUGUUUUGAAAACAUUAAAUAAGAAUAUUCUUAAUAAUCU